Molecule: long non-coding RNA, 2594 nt
Organism: Lethenteron reissneri (Far Eastern brook lamprey)
Lineage: Eukaryota; Metazoa; Chordata; Hyperoartia; Petromyzontiformes; Petromyzontidae
Source: RefSeq, a predicted model, not a curated record
GAGUGAAGUGCACGCGAAGCUGCUGCUGCUGCACUCCCAAGAGCCGGCCUCAGCACAGAGUACUGAGUUGUUCAUCACGUGGAGUGGGACCAUCGACUCUCUACACUCAACGACCCAGUUUCAUUACGGGUGGCUGCCUGGAUUCGAACCCAGGUUUCUUCAGUGGUGUCGGCUCAUUGUUCUGAUCAACUGAGCCACCCGGCCAACCAGAUUGCAUAUUUUUGUUAUUGUUAGUUUGUUUUAUAUCAUUCUGUAAGUAUAAUCAAUCCCAUUCAAAUGUUAUUUUGACCUGAAGUUUUUGCAUGUCUGUAGUUUUGGAAGAUCAGGAUGAAUCCAUGAAACUCAUUGCACAUGAGAUAAUCCAUCCUAAGAGUUGACCCACUCUUCAUCUGGGAGUUUAAAAAAAAAUCGACAAAAUAUAUCAUUUAAACAGUGGCCAACGGGUGAAGUGGUCACGUGGCUGACAUGGCCAGGACGUGGCGGUCUACAAGUUGCAGGGGUUUCCAAACUUCAUGGUACGUCGUUCCGAGUUUACCAAAUAACCUCCGUUCAAAUCACAAAUGUAUUCAUUACACACUGCACAUGCGUGACGAUUGAUAAACAUGUCCCACCUGACAUAGAAGGUGCUGAGUUAAAUCAGUCUAUAUGCCACUUGGGAUGUAUUUAUCAAUCAUCAGGCAUGUGCAGCAUGUAAUGACUGAAUGUUUAUAUGAAAGGUAAAUUUGUAAACUACAUUUUUUGUGGACUGUAAGCAUUGUGGUCCAGGAAACUGAGAGAAUAACCUAACAUUGUACAAAGUAUUGUACGCAGUAUAUGUACAAAGUUGACUAUAACUUACUAAAUUGCUGUAUUGCUGCAUUUAUUGAUCACUAUUUUGCCAUGUGAUCCUCACUAUAAUUCUCAUGGCUGUCACACUGGUGUAUAGUCUAAACCCAUCCAAUGUGCCAGCUCACAACCACAGAGCACCACAGUAAACCAGGACGAUGGCACGCUUUACACGGCAACCCACACGACAUUGGACACCUUUUUGUUGUCAUACUGGUGUCCGAAAAUAAUUCGUCUUCAGAGCUCUUCCGUUUCACGUGGCAGGUGUAAAUAAUGGCAGCAGUAUAAUUUGUCGCCUGCAUGAAAUAUUUAUGAUAGCUUCGUGCAGGCUGACAGCAACGUGACAGCAUCGGGGUGUAAAUUGGCCUGAAAACUAUACGGGGUUCAUAAACUGUGAGUGCAAAAACGAUUAUCCAUUAGUUUUCAGGAAAGGGGGUAAAAUUACCAGAAGUUAAAAGAUGCUCGUAAAAACGUCCCAAGGAGACAAUGCAAGUCGUGGAAAUAAAGUCAUCGGUGUUAAGUAAUGGUGAGAGGCGUGAAAUGUGAUGAAUCAGCUUUUCUACAGGGUUUGGAGUGGCACAUACAAGUCAGAAUAUAUAUUUUUUCAGGUGCAGAAUAUUUAUAUUGGAGGAAUCCGAUGAGCUAUGAAGCUCUUUGCCACAGAUGUCGACACGGGGCGGGUGGUCAGAACGUUACAACAAAUACAAAAACACGUUAGCUGUGCAAAGUAUAGGAAAGGUAAACAAAUCACUAAACAAAUAUCAACAAAACUAAGUGGGUUUAUUUAGAGCCCAAUAAAACCACAAAAUCCACCAUCAUGAAUUGCAGUGUAUCUUUCAUGAGGCAUUUCCAUGCAAAACACCAACAUCGUAUACGCUCAUCCGCCAAGAAAGGCGACAGCCAUAGAUUGGUCGUGAUGGAGGAAACAUGCUGCUGGUGUCUGUCAGCGUUUUUUUUUAUUGGCCUCUGUGUUUGACUAGAUUAAUCAUUUGGUUUGGGUUUUAAACAUGUCUCCUUAUUGCAUGUACAUGCUUGUUUUCAUUUUUGUUGUUGCCAUAGUUUUAUACAUCUUAUUGUAUGUUUGUGUGUAUUGAUGUUAUCGAAAUGUGGAUAUAUUGGGAGAUGCAUUCAUAGAUACCCCACUAAAAUAAUGACGACACAUUAAAGGAAAGACAACAUUGUGUAUGUUAGCGCCUCUGCACAUCCCCCGCCAAUCUUCAGUACGCAUUGGUAAAUAGUUCUAUGCCUCUUCUACCUAAGAUAUGGAGCCAUUGCUUUUACAAUGUUAAAUCAGCUGUUGCAAAGAAAGAGGACCGUUAGAAAUGUGUGGGGUAUCUAUAAAAGAAUCACACUGUCGAUGUUUUGCAGUGAGAAUGUGAUUGGUUUGCCUCAUACCCAGGGAUGUUAAACGGUAUUUACAUUGUCAACUUUUUUUUUAUGUAGAUGUUAAUCGUAAGUAAUCCUGAAGGCACACCCUGAUACACAUAUCACAUUAUAUUAUAAAUGAUCAAUUAAGUCCAAGCCAAUUAAAUGGCCAGUGACCAAAUGCAUUACAAGCUAAUUAGACUUGACACAUUUGGGAGGUUGAUCCUUUAUUCCAAAGUUGAUGAAGAUUUCUCUUUUGCACGCACAUUCACUACGUUCAUACGUUCAUUUUUUUACAUUGCACUUUAAAACCAAAUGUGUUUUAGUCUAUUUACAAGAUUGGGUUCCUAGGAUGGAAUGCACAUUAUAUUUUUUUAUAAUUCUAAUUAUAAAAUUUAAUUAUU